UUCAGAUUUGGGGCAAAGAAAGGACCUGGUCCGAUUGCCAUGGCACAUCUCCAGCGUAGCUUUCUCUGCUAGGCGUCAACUCAAACUUUCUCCUUCCCCCGUUUCAAGUCAAGAAGGAACAGGAAAAUGUCUUUGUAGGUGGGGAGAAAAUUCAGAGCCAACUUUAAGCACCGCUUGCUGAAACCAUCUAUUUUUGGCCGCCAAGCAUCCGUUCCUCCUCCUAACAUAUCAG
Molecule: long non-coding RNA, 232 nt
Filed under: Sus scrofa (pig)
Lineage: Eukaryota; Metazoa; Chordata; Mammalia; Artiodactyla; Suidae
Description: lncRNA (ENSSSCG00070015484.1)
Source: RNAcentral